Molecule: non-coding RNA, 586 nt
Organism: Odocoileus virginianus texanus
Lineage: Eukaryota; Metazoa; Chordata; Mammalia; Artiodactyla; Cervidae
Source: RefSeq, a predicted model, not a curated record
GGAACUUUGAGGGGCAGAAAAAUCCAUGGCACAUAUCAGAUUAUAAAAUAAUACACUAGGUGUAUCAAGUUGUAUUCUUUAGAGUUGAAUUUUUUUUCACCCUAGUGUCUCUUCCUAAAUGGUACAUCUAAUAUGUCUAGAAGUCUCAGUGACUCUACCUUCAAAAUAUAUACAAAAUUCAGGAAGUUCCUCAGACAAAAAAGAAUUAUGAGACCAACCAUAAACCUGUAUCCACGUCAAGAAGUGAAGAGUAUGGGAAAUGGACUAAGGCAAGAUUUUGAAAAUUUAAUUCUGAAUCACUUCAUUGGCUCCAUGAAGAAGUUGAACAAAGCUGUAUUCAGCUUUUCAUUAUCUUUCAAUUAAUUAUGAUCCUCCAAACACGGGGGAGCUGUUAUAGCAAGUGCUGAUCAGAAUAUAGAAGAUUAUGCUGCUUUUCAGAAGUAUAAAGUGCUCUGCAGAAAACAGAACAGGUGAAAUCUUAUUAUUAUUAUUUUUUUAAUGGAACUGCUAUGUUUGACUGACUUAAGGAUAAAGAACAGAACUCAGGAAAUAAUGAAGAAGACACCCACAUAGGGGGACAAAGUGU